This 244-nucleotide unclassified non-coding RNA is filed under the name Hevea brasiliensis (rubber tree). The record is from RNAcentral. Lineage: Eukaryota; Viridiplantae; Streptophyta; Magnoliopsida; Malpighiales; Euphorbiaceae.
AUGUUCCGCCAUCAGCAUAUUAUCAUUCUGGUGGUUGGCGGAUAAAUCCAAACUUGUAUGAGGAAGGGAAGGUUUGUCUCAGCCUUUUAAAUACUUGGACGGGCAGAGGGAAUGAGGUCUGGGAUUCUUCAUCUUCAAGUAUACUUCAAGUCCUAGUUUCACUUCAAGGGCUAGUCUUGAAUUCCAGGCCAUAUUUCAAUGAAGCUGGCUAUGACAAGCAAGUUGGGACAGCUGAAGGAGAAAA